Molecule: ribosomal RNA, 253 nt
Filed under: uncultured bacterium
Lineage: Bacteria
Description: partial 16S ribosomal RNA
Rfam family: Bacterial small subunit ribosomal RNA
Source: RNAcentral
UACGUAGGGUGCAAGCGUUAAUCGGAAUUACUGGGCGUAAAGCGCACGUAGGCGGCUUUGUAAGUCAGGGGUGAAAUCCCGGGGCUCAACCUCGGAACUGCCUUUGAUACUGCAAAUCUCGAGUCCGGAAGAGGUGAGUGGAAUUCCUAGUGUAGAGGUGAAAUUCGUAGAUAUUAGGAAGAACACCAGUGGCGAAGGCGGCUCACUGGUCCGGUACUGACGCUGAGGUGCGAAAGCGUGGGGAGCAAACAGG